UAGCUCAGUUGGGAUAGCGUCAGACUGAAGAUCUGAAGGUCCCUGGUUCAAUCCAGA
RNAcentral lists this transfer RNA (57 nucleotides) under Nematostella vectensis (starlet sea anemone). It matches the Rfam family "tRNA", at positions 8 to 63 of the family's 71-position model. Rfam says of the family: Transfer RNA (tRNA) molecules are approximately 80 nucleotides in length. Their secondary structure includes four short double-helical elements and three loops (D, anti-codon, and T loops). Lineage: Eukaryota; Metazoa; Cnidaria; Anthozoa; Actiniaria; Edwardsiidae. The record is from Rfam by way of RNAcentral.